This is a long non-coding RNA of Lagenorhynchus albirostris (white-beaked dolphin), 1605 nucleotides long. RefSeq lists it as uncharacterized. The record is from RefSeq and is a predicted model, not a curated record. The transcript is spliced from 6 exons. Lineage: Eukaryota; Metazoa; Chordata; Mammalia; Artiodactyla; Delphinidae.
AGAACUCCAAGCAGGAUAAAAAAAACAAACAAAAAAAAAACAAAAAACUGUAUUGAGGCAUAUAAUAUUCAAUCUACAGAAAGUCAAAGAUAAGGAAAAAAUCCUGAAAGAAGCUAGAGGGAAGAAAACACCUUACCUAUAGAGUAACAAAGAUAAGAAUUACAUCUGACUUCUCCUCAGAAACUGUGCAAGCAAGAAGACUGUGGAGUGUUAAAAAAAAAACCCAGCAACCUAGAAUUCUGUGAAAUUAUCUUUCAAAAGUGAAGGAAACACAAAUAUUUUAAUGGACAAGUGAAAGUUGGAAUUUGUCAUCAGUAGAACUUCCUUGCAAGAAAUGUUAAAAGAAGUUCUUCAGAGAGAAGGAAAAUAAUAUAUGUCAGAAACUUGGAUCUGUAUGAAGUAAUGAAGAACAUCAAAGAAGGAAUAAGUGAAGGAACUGUUGCAUGCAGUUCUGGAAGCUGAGCAGUCCCACAGUCUGCCUCUGCAAGCUGGAGAACGAGGAAAGACAGCAGUAUAAUGCAGUCCAAGUCUGAAGGCCUGAGAACUAGGAGCUCUGAUGGUCGAGGGCAGGAAAAGAUGGACAUCCCAGCUCAAGAAGAGAGAGAGAAUUCUGCCAUCUUUUCCUCUUUUGUUCCAUAUGGCCCCAAACAGAUUGGAUGAUGUCUGCCCAUAUUGAAGUCUUCUCAAACCCUUUAUGGAACAAAGCUGGAUAUGAUUAAAUAAAGUCUGCAUCUAGUUUUUGAUAUGUGAAAAAGAUCAUCUUCAAAAUUAAGGAUUUCCAUGGAAAAGAAUAUUAGAUCCUCUGUCAACUAUCAGACUUCUCCUUCUGCACAGCCCUCUCUUGGUGCUUUUGCUUUUCAAAGUUUUCAGUAGCCGGGCACUUACUCCACUACGGCGGGAUGUCAUAGCCACCACUGGAGACCACUGGUUGGUUCUGGGGUUGUAUCUCUCAGCACUGCUAAGCUCUGUAGUGUCAUCUCUGCCUCCUACGGCAUAGAUCAUAUCCUGAUACACUGCGCAGCCUAGGUGUUUCCUCCGGGUCCCCAUAGGGGCUAUGGUGUGCCAUCUGUUUUCCUGAGGAUUAUAACGCUCCACUGCAGGGAAAAGAAAAACCAGGGACUCUCCUAAGAAAAAAUGCAUUGCUUUGGGGAAACCAGACUGACUUUGGAAGGAACUAACCUGUGUUGAGUGGAGAUGUCCCAUCAGAGCCACCUACAGCGUAUAAGAACCCUCCUAACACAGCCACAGCCACGCCUAGUCUCCUAGUACUCAUAGAAGCCACCCGAGUCCACUUGUUCUCCUUCGGAUCAUACCUGCGUACACGGGCCACUCACUGUUGUGGCCUCUCCCAUUGCGGAGCACAGGCUCCGAAUGUGCAGGCUCAGCGGCCAUGGCUCACGGGCCCAGCCUCUCCACAGCAUUUGGGAUCUUCCUGGACCGGGGCACGAACCCAUGUCCCCUGCAUCGGCAGGUUGACUCUCAACCACUGCACCACCAGGGAAGCCCUAGCCAAUUUUUUAAUGUCAAAUUCUCUUUACCAAAAUAGCUGAUAUGGUUUCCAUUUUUUUUAACUGAGCCCUGAUUGAUAAAUUAUUGGUGUUCAGA